UAUUAGAUGGUUGCAAGUUAAAUCCAAUGUGGAACAUAAGAGUUCUAUGUGAUAGAUGUUUGGUAACUAUCUUUGGCAACGUCGUACAAAUGCAUGACUUGAUACAACAGAUGGGUUGGGCAAUUGUUCGUAAAGAAUAUCGUGGAGACCCCCUCAAAUGGAGUAGAUUGUGGGAUGCUGAUGAUAUUUAUAAUGCAUUUUCUAGACAAGAGGUGAUGAAAAAUAUUCAAACCAUAUCUUUGGACUUGUCUAGAUCAAAAGAAAUACGGUUCAAUACAAAAGUGUUUGCUAAGAUGAAGAAACUUAGGUUGCUUAAAAUCUAUUGCAAUGAUCAUGAUGGUUUGACAAGAGAGGAGUAUAAAGUGCAUCUUCCUAAAGACUUUGAAUUUCCUCGUAAUUUGAGAUAUCUUCAUUGGCAAAGAUGCACUUUGAGGUCUUUACCUUCAAGUUUUUAUGGAGAGCAACUUAUUGAAAUCAACUUGAAGUCUAGCAACAUAAAAAGGCUUUGGAAGGGGAAUAAGUGUCUUGGAAAACUAAAGGGCAUUGAUUUAAGUCACUCAAAACAGCUUGUCGAAAUGCCAGAAUUCUCAAGCAUGCCGAAUUUGGAGAGACUGAAUCUUGAAGGUUGUACAAGUUUGCGUGAACUUCAUUCAUCUAUUGGUGAUCUCAAAUGGUUGACUUACUUAAAUUUAGGAGGAUGUGAGCAGCUCCAAAGUUUACCAAAUAGCAUGAAGUUUGAAUCUCUUGAAGUCCUUUAUCUCAACCAAUGUCCAAAGUUGAAGAAGAUUCCUGAGAUCCAUGGGAAUAUGGGACAUUUGAAGGAACUUUAUUUUAAUAAGAGUGGGAUUAAAGAGCUACCAAGUAGCAUUGCGUAUUUAUCAUCUCUUGAAGUCCUUGAUCUCUCGUAUUGUUCAAACUUUGAGAAAUUUCCUGAGAUCCAUGGGAAUAUGAAAUUUUUGAGGAAGCUUCAUCUAUGUGCAAGUGGUAUUAAAGAACUCCCAGACAGCAUUGGGUAUUUGGAAUCUCUUGAAAUUCUUGACCUCUCAUUUUGCUCAAAAUUUGAGAAAUUCCCAGAGAUAAGAGGGAAUAUGAAAUGUUUGAAGGAGCUUUCUUUAGAUGAGACUGCUAUUAAGGAACUCCCAAAUAGUAUUGGGUCCUUGACCUCUCUCAAAAUUCUUUCUCUUGAAAAAUGUUCAAAGUUUGAGAAAUUUUCAGAUGUAUUUACCAAUAUGAGACAUUUACGGAUUCUAAAUUUAUGUGAAAGUGGUAUUAAGGAACUCCCAGGCAGCAUUGGAUGUUUGGAAUCUCUUGCAGAUCUUGACCUCUCAAAUUGCUCAAACUUUGAGAAAUUUCCAGAGAUCCAAUGGAAUAUGAAAUGCUUGAGGGACCUUGAUUUACGCCACACUGCUAUUAAGGAACUCCCAAAUAGCAUUUGGUGCUUGCAGGACCUUGGAAUUCUUCACCUCGGUGGUUGCUCAAAUCUUGAGAGGCUUCCUGAGAUCCAAAAAGAUAUGGGAAAUCUAUAUCUUCUUUGUCUAGACGGAACUGCUAUUGAAGGAUUACCCUGCUCAAUAGGUCAUCUCACUGGACUUGCUAGGUUACAUUUGAAAAAUUGUAGAAACUUGAGAAGUCUUCCAAACAUAUGUGAGUUGAAAUCCCUUGAAGACCUUCUUAUCGAUGGUUGUUCAAAUCUAGAGGCUUUUUCAGAGAUCACGGAGGAUAUGGAACAAUUAGAACACCUUUUGUUACGUGAAACGGGCAUAACAGAGCUGCCAUCAUCAAUUGAACACCUGAGAGGUCUUGAUUCCUUGGAAUUGAUCAAUUGUGAGAACCUUGUGGCUCUUCCCAAUAGCAUUGGUAGUUUGACAUGUCUUACUAUUCUUCGUGUUCGUAACUGUACAAAGCUCCAUAACUUGCCUGACAAUUUGAGAGGCCUAUGGCGUAGCCUAAUAAAACUAGAUCUAGGUGGUUGCAAUCUGACGGAGGGAGAAAUCCCCAGUGAUUUAUGGUGCUUAUCCUCACUGAUAUUUUUAGAUGUAAGUGAAAACCAUAUUCGUUGCAUACCCGCUGGCAUCACUCAACUUUUUGAGCUCCGAACCCUUUACAUGAAUCACUGCCCGAUGCUUGAAGAAAUUGGAGAGCUUCCAUCAAGUUUAACAAAGAUGGAGGCACAUGGUUGUCCAUGCCUGGAAACAGAAACUUUCUCAAGUCCACUUUGGUCUUCUCUGCUCAAAUACUUCAAAUCACCAAAUCAGUCGUCAUUUGUCAUUCCAGGAAGUAGUGGAAUACCAGAGUGGGUAAGCCAUCAGAGAAUGGGGUGUGAAGUAAGAAUAAAGCUCCCAAUGAAUUGGUAUGAAGAUAACAACUUCUUGGGAUUUGUUCUAUUCUUCCAUCAUGUUCCCCUUGAUGAUGAUGAAUGUGAGACAACAAGAGGUGGUAUUGCACAUUGUGAAUUGACGAUAUCCCAUGGUGAUCAAUCUGAACGACUGGACAAGAUAUUGUUUUAUUCUGAAUGUAAAACCUACCGGAUUGGGAAUUUAUCAUAUGACGACGAAUUCGACCGCUACUGCAGUGGUAGCACAUCAGAUCCAGCAAUUUGGGUGACGUAUUUCUCAGUGUUUGAAAUUCCCCGUGAGUAUCGAUCCAGUCGGUGGAACAACUUUAAGGCUCACUUCCACACUCCAAUCGGUUAUGGCUCUUUUACGUGUGGCACUAACACAUGCUUUAAAUUGAAAAGCUGUGGGAUACAUCUCUUGUACGACCAAGAUCAGAUGCAUUGCCCUCAGCCGUCAAGAGGAAGCCUUGGUGACAGAGAAGAUCACCCAGCCUUCUCUAGUUUCCAAAAGAUCAAAGCUUUAUUUAAACCCUAGCAAGGUUCUUAUGCAGAGAAAUCAAAUCAGAAAAAAUGAAGACAUUUCUAGUUUCCAACUCUACUCAGCAAGGAUGCUGAUGGAAACAUGACUAACUAUUGGUCCUGGAAUCGGAAGUGGUGGCAAAGAUGCAGUAUUGAACCAGAAUGCGAAUACCAUGAAAGAGACUCUUUGUUUGGAUUGUGGAUUUUAAUUUGUAUGUUUUUAAGCAUGGAUAAUUUGAAUUGUGGAUUUGAAUUUGUAUGUUUUUAGGUAUCGAUAAUUUUAUUUA
RNA transcript from Vitis riparia (riverbank grape), 3141 nucleotides. It is a transcript of the gene named disease resistance protein RPV1-like, with no coding region annotated. The transcript has 6 exons. The record is from RefSeq and is a predicted model, not a curated record. NCBI's taxonomy places the organism in Eukaryota, Viridiplantae, Streptophyta, Magnoliopsida, Vitales, Vitaceae.